Molecule: ribosomal RNA, 253 nt
Filed under: uncultured bacterium
Lineage: Bacteria
Description: partial 16S ribosomal RNA
Rfam family: Bacterial small subunit ribosomal RNA
Source: RNAcentral
UACGGGGGGGGCAAGCGUUGUUCGGAAUUACUGGGCGUAAAGGGCGCGUAGGCGGCCGCCUAAGUCAGACGUGAAAUCCCUCGGCUCAACCGGGGAACUGCGUCUGAUACUGGGCGGCUUGAAUUCGGGAGAGGAAUGCGGAAUUCCAGGUGUAGCGGUGAAAUGCGUAGAUAUCUGGAGGAACACCGGUGGCGAAGGCGGCAUUCUGGACCGACAUUGACGCUGAGGCGCGAAAGCCAGGGGAGCAAACGGG